UGGCUUAAAAGGACAAAGAUUAGUCAGCAUUGACUCCUUCCCUCUCCACCCCUUCUCUGAAGGUAUAUCUCUCUAACUGGUCCAUUAUCAUGGGAAGAAAGAAAGAUUUCAACUUCUUUAAGCAAGAAAAGUUAUCUUUUUGUGAAAAAUUAGAAAGCUUGGCUAGGAAUUCUUCUGUUCUCUAAAUGAAGAAGUAUCUCCGAGGUUGGUACUGGAAUUCUAUGAAAAUGCCUCUAUGAAAUCUAAUGCACUUAUCUUUAAGGUA
This 265-nucleotide long non-coding RNA is filed under the name Elaeis guineensis (African oil palm). Its description in RNAcentral is "long non-coding RNA (EGUI_LNC034905)". Lineage: Eukaryota; Viridiplantae; Streptophyta; Magnoliopsida; Arecales; Arecaceae. The record is from RNAcentral.